CUUGACACUGAACAUUGAGCCUUGAUGUGUAGGAUAGGUGGGAGGCUUUGAAGCGUGGACGCCAGUCUGCGUGGAGCCAACCUUGAAAUACCACCCUUCAAUGUUUGAUGUUCUAACGUAGGCCCCUUAUCGGGGUUGCGGACAGUGUCUGGUGGGUAGUUUGACUGGGGCGGUCUCCUCCCAAAGCGUAACGGAGGAGCACGAAGGUUAGCUAAUCCUGGUCGGACAUCAGGAGGUUAGUGCAAUGGCAUAAGCUAGCUUGACUGCGAGCGUGACGGCGCGAGCAGGUGCGAAAGCAGGUCAUAGUGAUCCGGUGGUUCUGAAUGGAAGGGCCAUCGCUCAACGGAUAAAAGGUACUCCGGGGAUAACAGGCUGAUACCGCCCAAGAGUUCAUAUCGACGGCGGUGUUUGGCACCUCGAUGUCGGCUCAUCACAUCCUGGGGCUGAAGUAGGUCCCAAGGGUAUGGCUGUUCGCCAUUUAAAGUGGUACGCGAGCUGGGUUUAGAACGUCGUGAGACAGUUCGGUCCCUAUCUGCCGUGGGCGCUGGAGAAUUGAGGGGGGCUGCUCCUAGUACGAGAGGACCGGAGUGGACGCAUCACUGGUGUUCGGGUUGUCAUGCCAAUGGCACUGCCCGGUAGCUAAAUGCGGAAGAGAUAAGUGCUGAAAGCAUCUAAGCACGAAACUUGCCCCGAGAUGAGUUCUCCCUGAGACUUUAAGUCUCCUGAAGGAACGUUAAAGACGAUGACGUUGAUAGGCCGGGUGUGUAAGCGCAGCGAUGCGUUGAGCUAACCGGUACUAAUGAACCGUGAGGCUUAACCUU
This 821-nucleotide ribosomal RNA is filed under the name Klebsiella quasipneumoniae. RNAcentral describes it as "partial 23S ribosomal RNA". It matches the Rfam family "Bacterial large subunit ribosomal RNA", at positions 2110 to 2925 of the family's 2925-position model. The record is from RNAcentral. Lineage: Bacteria; Pseudomonadati; Pseudomonadota; Gammaproteobacteria; Enterobacterales; Enterobacteriaceae.